RNAcentral lists this ribosomal RNA (460 nucleotides) under uncultured bacterium. Its description in RNAcentral is "partial 16S ribosomal RNA". It matches the Rfam family "Bacterial small subunit ribosomal RNA", at positions 338 to 795 of the family's 1533-position model. The record is from RNAcentral.
CCUACGGGAGGCAGCAGUGAGGAAUAUUGGUCAAUGGACGAGAGUCUGAACCAGCCAAGUAGCGUGAAGGAUGACUGCCCUAUGGGUUGUAAACUUCUUUUAUAAAGGAAUAAAACGAGGCACGUGUGCCUUUUUGCAUGUACUUUAUGAAUAAGGAUCGGCUAACUCCGUGCCAGCAGCCGCGGUAAUACGGAGGAUCCGAGCGUUAUCCGGAUUUAUUGGGUUUAAAGGGAGCGUAGAUGGGUUGUUAAGUCAGUUGUGAAAGGUUGCGGCUCAACCGUAAAAUUGCAAUUGAUACUGGCAGUCUUGAGUACAGUUGAGGUAGGCGGAAUGCGUGGUGUAGCGGUGAAAUGCUUAGAUAUCACGAAGAACCCCGAUUGCGAAGGCAGCUUACUAAACUGUGACUGACAUUGAUGCUCGAAAGUGUGGGUAUCAAACAGGAUUAGAUACCCGGGUAGUC